GACUCCUACGGGAGGCAGCAGUGAGGAAUCUUGCGCAAUGGGGGCAACCCUGACGCAGCCACGCCGCGUGCCGGAAGACGGCCCUAUGGGUUGUAAACGGCUUUUGAAUGAGAAGAACGUCCGGGUUUCGACCUGGAGUGACGGUAUCAUUCGAAUAAGCACCGGCUAACUCCGUGCCAGCAGCCGCGGUAAUACGGAGGGUGCAAGCGUUGUCCGGAAUCAUUGGGUGUAAAGGGUGCGUAGGCGGGAGCCUAAGUCUGUGGUGAAAUCUUGCCGCUUAACGGUAAAAUUGCCAUGGAUACUGGGUUUCUUGAGUACAGAAGAGGCCGGUGGAAUUCGUAGUGUAGCGGUGAAAUGCAUAGAUAUUACGAAGAACACCAGUGGCGAAGGCGGCCGGCUGGGCUGUAACUGACGCUGAGGCACGAAAGCGUGGGGAGCGAACAGGAUUAGAUACCCUGGUAGUCCACGCUGUAAACGAUGUAUGCUAGUUGUUGG
RNAcentral lists this ribosomal RNA (495 nucleotides) under uncultured Gracilimonas sp. Its description in RNAcentral is "bacterial SSU rRNA". It matches the Rfam family "Bacterial small subunit ribosomal RNA", at positions 334 to 826 of the family's 1533-position model. The record is from RNAcentral. Lineage: Bacteria; Pseudomonadati; Balneolota; Balneolia; Balneolales; Balneolaceae.